GCCUUUGUAGCUCAGUGGACAGAGCGCCGGUCUUCGGAACCGGGCGUCGGGAGUUCGAAUCUCUCCAGAGGUACCA
This 76-nucleotide transfer RNA is filed under the name Bacteroidia bacterium. RNAcentral describes it as "tRNA-Arg". It matches the Rfam family "tRNA". Rfam says of the family: Transfer RNA (tRNA) molecules are approximately 80 nucleotides in length. Lineage: Bacteria; Pseudomonadati; Bacteroidota; Bacteroidia. The record is from RNAcentral.